CAAAAGAUAGUUUAUUUGAAAAUUCCGGUUUUGGGGAUUGGAGAGAGAGGUUCGAGUCCUUUUCUUUUGA
RNAcentral lists this transfer RNA (70 nucleotides) under Nilssonia nigricans. Its description in RNAcentral is "tRNA-Pro". It matches the Rfam family "tRNA". Rfam says of the family: Transfer RNA (tRNA) molecules are approximately 80 nucleotides in length. Their secondary structure includes four short double-helical elements and three loops (D, anti-codon, and T loops). Lineage: Eukaryota; Metazoa; Chordata; Testudines; Trionychidae. The record is from RNAcentral.